RNAcentral lists this transfer RNA (72 nucleotides) under Umezakia ovalisporum. RNAcentral describes it as "Chrysosporum ovalisporum partial Thr tRNA". It matches the Rfam family "tRNA". From Rfam's summary of the family: Transfer RNA (tRNA) molecules are approximately 80 nucleotides in length. RNAcentral also lists the same sequence under 13 other names. Lineage: Bacteria; Bacillati; Cyanobacteriota; Cyanophyceae; Nostocales; Nodulariaceae. The record is from RNAcentral.
GCCGAUGUGACUCAGUGGUAGAGCAGCUGAUUAGUAAUCAGCAGGCGACGGGUUCAAAUCCCGUCAUCGGCU